RNAcentral lists this ribosomal RNA (253 nucleotides) under uncultured bacterium. RNAcentral describes it as "partial 16S ribosomal RNA". It matches the Rfam family "Bacterial small subunit ribosomal RNA", at positions 524 to 776 of the family's 1533-position model. The record is from RNAcentral.
UACGUAGGGACCGAGCGUUGUCCGGAUUCAUUGGGCGUAAAGAGCUCGUAGGCGGCUGCUCAAGUCGAAUGUGAAAACUCGAGGCUCAACCUCGAGCCUGCAUUCGAUACUGGGCGGCUAGAGUCUGGUAGGGGGAUCUGGAAUUCCUGGUGUAGCGGUGGAAUGCGUAGAGAUCGGGAGGAACAUCCGUGGCGAAGGCGGCCAUCUGGAUCAACACUGACGCUGAGGCACGAAAGCGUGGGGAGCAAACAGG